UACGUAGGGUGCAGGCGUUAAUCGGAAUUACUGGGCGUAAAGCGUGCGCAGGCGGUUUGCUAAGACCGGUGUGAAAUCCCCGGGCUUAACCUGGGAACUGCGCUUGUAACUGGCAAGCUGGAGUGUGGCAGAGGGGGGUGGAAUUCCACGUGUAGCAGUGAAAUGCGUAGAGAUGUGGAGGAACACCGAUGGCGAAGGCAGCCACCUGGGCUAACACUGACGCUCAUGCACGAAAGCGUGGGGAGCAAACAGG
This 253-nucleotide ribosomal RNA is filed under the name uncultured bacterium. RNAcentral's name for it is "partial 16S ribosomal RNA". It matches the Rfam family "Bacterial small subunit ribosomal RNA", at positions 524 to 776 of the family's 1533-position model. The record is from RNAcentral.